AGUGAACGCUGGCGGUAGGCCUAACACAUGCAAGUCGAACGGCAGCACAGUAAGAGCUUGCUCUUACGGGUGGCGAGUGGCGGACGGGUGAGGAAUACAUCGGAAUCUACUUUUUCGUGGGGGAUAACGUAGGGAAACUUACGCUAAUACCGCAUACGACCUACGGGUGAGAGCAGGGGAUCUUCGGAACUUGCGCGAGUGAAUGAGCCGAUGUCGGAUUAGCUAGUUGGCGGGGUAAAGGCCCACCAAGGCGACGAUCCGUAGCUGGUCUGAGAGGAUGAUCAGCCACACUGGAACUGAGACACGGUCCAGACUCCUACGGGAGGCAGCAGUGGGGAAUAUUGGACAAUGGGCGCAAGCCUGAUCCAGCCAUACCGCGUGGGUGAAGAAGGCCUUCGGGUUGUAAAGCCCUUUUGUUGGGAAAGAAAAGCAGCAGGUUAAUACCCCGCUGUUCUGACGGUACCCAAAGAAUAAGCACCGGCUAACUUCGUG
RNAcentral lists this ribosomal RNA (492 nucleotides) under uncultured bacterium. RNAcentral describes it as "partial 16S ribosomal RNA". It matches the Rfam family "Bacterial small subunit ribosomal RNA", at positions 29 to 507 of the family's 1533-position model. The record is from RNAcentral.